Molecule: ribosomal RNA, 1008 nt
Filed under: uncultured bacterium
Lineage: Bacteria
Description: large subunit ribosomal RNA
Rfam family: Bacterial large subunit ribosomal RNA (bases 60-243)
Source: RNAcentral
UAGGUGAGGUCCCUCGCGGAUGGAGCUGAAAUCAGUCGAAGAUACCAGCUGGCUGCAACUGUUUAUUAAAAACACAGCACUGUGCAAACACGAAAGUGGACGUAUACGGUGUGACGCCUGCCCGGUGCCGGAAGGUUAAUUGAUGGGGUUAGCGCAAGCGAAGCUCUUGAUCGAAGCCAUCAUCAAGGGAGCGCUGACGAUUCAUCUCAAGGAACCGAUCGGUAUCAACCAGCACCUGCGGCGGCGAAUACUCUUCCGGGAUCAGGAACAGUUUCCAGCGUUUGGUGCGCAGACCAACGGUGGCACGGCUGGAAAUCACCGAAACAAACGGUGACAGGAUCAACGAGAAGACAAUCGGUGCCAGCCAGAACAGGAAACGCAGAUCCAGCCACGCCAUCCCAACAGCCCACACUAACCCUAACAGCAGCUGUGAGCCGUGGCGUUUGAACGCUUCACCCCAGGAAGUGGAGUCAUCAUCACGCUGCGGUGAAUUCCACACCACUUCCCAGCCAAGGAACGCGCUGACAACGAAGACCGUAUGGAACAGCAUGCGUACCGGAGCCAGCAGCACGGAAAAAAGCACUUCCAGCAGCAACGAUAAUGUAACGCGCCAGAAGCCGCCGUAUUCUUUCGUUCCUUUGCACCAGAUAAGCAAAAUGCUCAAUAACUUCGGCAGGAACAACAGCACCAUGGUCGAAGCAAAAAGUGCAAUCGCCAGCUCAGGACGCCACUGCGGCCACACUGGGAACAACUGCCGUGGUUGCAGGAAGUAUUGCGGUUCGGUCAACGCAUGCACUACCUGCAAUGCAGUAGAGAGCGCGAGGAACAUAAACCACAGCGGAGCGGAGAGAUAAGACAUCACGCCCGUCAGGAACACCGCACGGUGAACCGGGUGCAUACCCUUCACCAGGAACAGACGGAAGUUCAUCAGGUUACCGUGGCACCAUCGGCGGUCACGUUUUAGCUCAUCAAGCAAGUUAGGCGGCAAUUCUUCAUAAGAACCCGGGA